RNAcentral lists this ribosomal RNA (441 nucleotides) under uncultured bacterium. Its description in RNAcentral is "partial 16S ribosomal RNA". It matches the Rfam family "Bacterial small subunit ribosomal RNA", at positions 338 to 795 of the family's 1533-position model. The record is from RNAcentral.
CCUACGGGAGGCAGCAGUGGGGAAUAUUGCACAAUGGGGGAAACACUGAUGCAGCGACGCCGCGUGGGUGACGAAGUAUUUCGGUAUGUAAAGCUCUAUCAGCAGGGGAGAAGAAAGACGGUACCUGACUAAGAAGCCCCGGCUAACUACGUGCCAGCAGCCGCGGUAAUACGUAGGGGGCAAGCGUUAUCCGGAUUUACUGGGUGUAAAGGGAGCGUAGACGGCUGUGCAAGUCUGAAGUGAAAGCCCAGGGCUCAACCCUGGGACUGCUUUGGAAACUGGGGAGCUAGAGUACUGGAGAGGUAAGUGGAAUUCCCAGUGUAGCGGUGAAAUGCGUAGAUAUUAGGAGGAACACCAGUGGCGAAGGCGGCUUACUGGACAGUAACUGACGUUGAGGCUCGAAAGCGUGGGGAGCGAACAGGAUUAGAUACCCGUGUAGUC